RNAcentral lists this ribosomal RNA (305 nucleotides) under uncultured bacterium. Its description in RNAcentral is "bacterial SSU rRNA". It matches the Rfam family "Bacterial small subunit ribosomal RNA", at positions 333 to 636 of the family's 1533-position model. The record is from RNAcentral.
UGGUACCUACGGGACGCAGCAGUGAGGAAUAUUGGUCAAUGGCCGAGAGGCUGAACCAGCCAAGUCGCGUGAGGGAAGACGGCCCUACGGGUUGUAAACCUCUUUUGUCGGGGAGCAAAGCGAACCACGUGUGGUUCAUUGAGAGUACCCGAAGAAAAAGCAUCGGCUAACUCCGUGCCAGCAGCCGCGGUAAUACGGAGGAUGCGAGCGUUAUCCGGAUUUAUUGGGUUUAAAGGGUGCGCAGGCGGAGGUGCAAGUCAGCGGUAAAAUUGAGAGGCUCAACCUCUUCGAGCCGUUGAAACUGG